RNAcentral lists this non-coding RNA (155 nucleotides) under Roseobacter denitrificans OCh 114. RNAcentral describes it as "6S / SsrS RNA". It matches the Rfam family "6S / SsrS RNA". From Rfam's summary of the family: E. coli 6S RNA was the first non coding RNA to be sequenced, but its function was unknown until recently. It consists of 184 nucleotides that fold into an extended hairpin structure with a large single-stranded internal bulge. Lineage: Bacteria; Pseudomonadati; Pseudomonadota; Alphaproteobacteria; Rhodobacterales; Roseobacteraceae. The record is from RNAcentral.
CGGGUGCUGCUUCUCUCGUGACUGGUUACAUUCCAGUGGCCUUAAGCAAAUCCGAGGGAGCUGGCUCUGUCCUGGCCCUGGCCUGGUUACCUGGCGCCCACCUGUAUAUACAGGUCCUCGGGAAUAAAAACCAAAACGGUUACUGCGGGCCCGUC